GAUGAACGCUGGCGGCGUGCCUAAUACAUGCAAGUCGAGCGGACAGACGAGGAGCUUGCUCCUCUGACGUUAGCGGCGGACGGGUGAGUAACACGUGGAUAACCUACCUAUAAGACUGGGAUAACUUCGGGAAACCGGAGCUAAUACCGGAUAAUAUAUUGAACCGCAUGGUUCAAUAGUGAAAGACGGUUUUGCUGUCACUUAUAGAUGGAUCCGCGCCGCAUUAGCUAGUUGGUAAGGUAACGGCUUACCAAGGCAACGAUGCGUAGCCGACCUGAGAGGGUGAUCCGCCACACUGGAACUGAGACACGGUCCAGACUCCUACGGGAGGCAGCAGUAGGGAAUCUUCCGCAAUGGGCGAAAGCCUGACGGAGCAACGCCGCGUGAGUGAUGAAGGUCUUCGGAUCGUAAAACUCUGUUAUUAGGGAAGAACAAAUGUGUAAGUAACUAUGCACGUCUUGACGGUACCUAAUCAGAAAGCCACGGCUAACUACGUG
This 497-nucleotide ribosomal RNA is filed under the name uncultured bacterium. RNAcentral describes it as "partial 16S ribosomal RNA". It matches the Rfam family "Bacterial small subunit ribosomal RNA", at positions 28 to 507 of the family's 1533-position model. The record is from RNAcentral.